UACGUAGGUGACAAGCGUUGUCCGGAUUUACUGGGCGUAAAGAGCGCGCAGGCGGUCGAUCAAGUCGAGUGUGAAAGCCCCCGGCUCAACUGGGGAGGGUCAUUCGAUACUGAUCGACUCGAAGGCAGGAGAGGGUAGUGGAAUUCCCGGUGUAGUGGUGAAAUGCGUAGAUAUCGGGAGGAACACCAGUGGCGAAGGCGACACUCUGGGCCGGUACUGACGCUGAGGAGCGAAAGCGUGGGGAGCAAACAGG
This 253-nucleotide ribosomal RNA is filed under the name uncultured bacterium. RNAcentral describes it as "partial 16S ribosomal RNA". It matches the Rfam family "Bacterial small subunit ribosomal RNA", at positions 524 to 776 of the family's 1533-position model. The record is from RNAcentral.